RNAcentral lists this ribosomal RNA (477 nucleotides) under uncultured anaerobic ammonium-oxidizing bacterium. RNAcentral's name for it is "bacterial SSU rRNA". It matches the Rfam family "Bacterial small subunit ribosomal RNA", at positions 365 to 832 of the family's 1533-position model. The record is from RNAcentral.
UUCGCAAUGCCCGAAAGGGUGACGAAGCGACGCCGCGUGAGCGAAGAAGGCCCUAGGGUUGUAAAGCUCUGUCGGGGGUUAUGAAAUGCAGGUUGGUUAAUACCCAACCUGUUUGACAAAGGCCCCAAAGGAAGCCACGGCUAACUCUGUGCCAGCAGCCGCGGUAAUACAGAGGUGGCAAGCGUUGUUCGGUAUUAUUGGGCGUAAAGAGCACGUAGGUGGUUUUGUAAGUCAGAUGUGAAAGCCUUCUGUUCAAAGGAAGAACGGCAUCUGAAACUGCAGAUCUUGAGUGUAGGAGGGGAGAGUGGAACUUCUGGUGGAGCGGUGAAAUGCGUAGAUAUCAGAAGGAACGCCGGCGGCGAAGGCGACUCUCUGGCCUAUUACUGACACUGAGUGUGCGAAAGUUAGGGGAGCAAACGGGAUUAGAUACCCCGGUAGUCCUAACUGUAAACGAUGGGCACUAAGUAGAGGGGUUUU